RNAcentral lists this long non-coding RNA (559 nucleotides) under Mus pahari (shrew mouse). Its description in RNAcentral is "lncRNA (MGP_PahariEiJ_G0004774.1)". The record is from RNAcentral. Lineage: Eukaryota; Metazoa; Chordata; Mammalia; Rodentia; Muridae.
CUUUUUUUUUUUUUUCUUUGCCUUGUAGUUCGAUGCUCAGCGUGAGAGAUAAGGUCAGAGUACCCACAGGACCCCGCGUCUCCCAAGGGGCGCAACAAAGAUGCUUACUUGGCCUGCUGGAUGGAGAGAAAGAGGCCCCUUGGAAUCUCUUUGCCUUCCCAGUCUAGAGCCGUCACUGGGAUCCCCAUUGUUUAAGGAUUUUUGACAGUUCAAGCUGAAGUUUACCAGUCACUGGGCUAGUCGGGUUCACUCAUCCAAUUCCGUUUAUUUGCUAUAUUCUGAUGAUCUACUAUUUACUGUGUCACAAAACAAACCGAAACCAACUACUUACAUUUAACAUAGCUGCCUUUCCCUGCAUUUUGGUAUGGAAAAAAAAAAAAGAAAAAAAAAAUAGAAACCGCAUUUAGACAAUUCAGAAAACUUACCAGGAAAGUGUUCUAUAUUAUCUCAGAGAGAAGUUUUAAUACUGGUUUGUUGCUCAAGAAAAUACAGUGAAAUGACAAAUCAAAACCAGAUAUGCAGUUUUCUCAAACGCUCUUUAGCAUUGCUGUAUCUUGGA